CCCUUAGAUGUUCUGGGCCGCACGCGUGCUACACUGAGUAAUUCAAUGGGUAAGGGAACGCUAGAGCAUUACCUAAUCUUGAAAUUUGCUCGUGAUGGGGAUCGACGGUUGCAAUUUUCCGUCGUGAACGAGGAAUACCUUGUAGGCGCAUGUCAUCAUCAUGCGCCGAAUACGUCCCUGCCCUUUGUACACACCGCCCGUCGCUCCUACCGAUUGAGUGAUCCGGUGAGGCUCUGGGACCUGGACGGAAAGAGCGUUUCGCUUGUUCUGUUUGGGAAACUUGGUCGAACCUUAUCAUUUAGAGGAAGGAGAGGUCGUAACA
This 322-nucleotide ribosomal RNA is filed under the name uncultured eukaryote. RNAcentral describes it as "partial 18S ribosomal RNA". It matches the Rfam family "Eukaryotic small subunit ribosomal RNA", at positions 1470 to 1796 of the family's 1831-position model. The record is from RNAcentral.